CCUACGGGAGGCAGCAGUGAGGAAUAUUGGUCAAUGGACGAGAGUCUGAACCAGCCAAGUAGCGUGAAGGAUGACUGCCCUAUGGGUUGUAAACUUCUUUUAUAUGGGAAUAAAAUGUUCCACGUGUGGGAUUUUGUAUGUACCAUAUGAAUAAGGAUCGGCUAACUCCGUGCCAGCAGCCGCGGUAAUACGGAGGAUCCGAGCGUUAUCCGGAUUUAUUGGGUUUAAAGGGCGUGUAGGUGGAUUGUUAAGUGCGUUGUGAAAGUUUGCGGCUGAACCGUAAAAUUGCAGUUGAAACUGGCAGUCUAGAGUACAGUAGAGGUAAGCGGAAUUCGUGGUGAAGCGGAGAAAUGCUUAGAUAUCACGAAGAACUCCGAUUGCGAAGGCAGUUCACUGGACUGCAACUGACACUGAGGCUCGAAAGUGUGGGUAGCAAACAGGAUUAGAUACCCGGGUAGUC
Molecule: ribosomal RNA, 460 nt
Filed under: uncultured bacterium
Lineage: Bacteria
Description: partial 16S ribosomal RNA
Rfam family: Bacterial small subunit ribosomal RNA
Source: RNAcentral